Molecule: ribosomal RNA, 253 nt
Filed under: uncultured bacterium
Lineage: Bacteria
Description: partial 16S ribosomal RNA
Rfam family: Bacterial small subunit ribosomal RNA
Source: RNAcentral
UACGUAGGGUGCAAGCGUUGUCCGGAAUUAUUGGGCGUAAAGAGCUCGUAGGCGGUCUGUCGCGUCGGAUGUGAAAACCCAGGGCUCAACCCUGGGCCUGCAUUCGAUACGGGCAGACUAGAGUUCGGUAGGGGAGACUGGAAUUCCUGGUGUAGCGGUGAAAUGCGUAGAGAUGUGGAGGAACACCGAUGGCGAAGGCAGUGAUCUGGGCCAGUACUGACGCUGAGGAGCGAAAGCGUGGGGAGCAAACAGG